Molecule: ribosomal RNA, 253 nt
Filed under: uncultured bacterium
Lineage: Bacteria
Description: partial 16S ribosomal RNA
Rfam family: Bacterial small subunit ribosomal RNA
Source: RNAcentral
AACGUAGGUACCGAGCGUUAUCCGGAUUUACUGGGCGUAAAGCGCGUUCAGGCGGUACGGCAAGUCGGGCAUGAAAUCUCUCGGCUCAACCGGGAGAGGUUGUCCGAUACUGCCGGACUAGAGGGCAGUAGAGGGUGGUGGAAUUCCGGGUGUAGUGGUGAAAUGCGUAGAGAUCCGGAGGAACACCAGUGGCGAAGGCGGCUCUCUGGGACGGUACUGACGCUGAGACGCGAAAGCGUGGGGAGCGAACAGG